GAUGAAGAACGUAGCGAAAUGCGAUAAGUAAUGUGAAUUGCAGAAUUCAGUGAAUCAUCGAAUCUUUGAACGCACAUUGCGCCCGCCAGUAUUCUGGCGGGCAUGCCUGUUCGAGCGUCAUUUCAACCAUCAAGCCCCCGGCUUGUGUUGGGGACCUGCGGCUGCCGCAGGCCCUGAAAACCAGUGGCGGGCUCGCUAGUCACUCCGAGCGUAGUAAUACAUCUCGCUCAGGGCGUGCUGCGGGUUCCGGCCGUGAAACCCCCCAAUUUUCAAGGUUGACCUCGGAUCAGGUAGGAAUACCCGCUGAACUUAAGCAUAUCAAUAAGCGGAGGA
This 333-nucleotide unclassified non-coding RNA is filed under the name soil metagenome. Its description in RNAcentral is "partial contains 5.8S ribosomal RNA, internal transcribed spacer 2, and large subunit ribosomal RNA". The stretch from base 1 to 120 matches the Rfam family "5.8S ribosomal RNA", at positions 35 to 154 of the family's 154-position model. The record is from RNAcentral.